This is a long non-coding RNA of Gasterosteus aculeatus aculeatus (three-spined stickleback), 2215 nucleotides long. Lineage: Eukaryota; Metazoa; Chordata; Actinopteri; Perciformes; Gasterosteidae. The record is from Ensembl.
UCUCAGUCGAAAUCUUGCAUUGCUUCAAUGUCCCAGCACUGGAUCCACCCUUGCCUAUCUGAAAGAUCCAUCGACGAUGAUUGGACAGGCUACAAUCUACAUACGUCCACUUCAACAGGAUCUACCCUUAGAUUGUGAGAGCUCACGUCCUGCCUCUGGUCCAGUCAUCCCCUGCAUCACUUGUCAGAAGGAAGUUCCCUUUUCAGAGGUGAAGCUCCACAGAUUGAGCUGCAAUGGCGUUGUGACAGAUUUUGGGAAACCACUUAGAAUGAAGAUGGAUGUAAGGGAGUCUGAAGAGGACCGGGAACGGGAGCUUCUCUUAUUCUAUAAACAGCAGCAAGAAUGGGCAUGUCCUCUUCAUUGUACUCUGGUUGGUGAUGUUGCUGUUGGAGAGGGAGUGAUGCGGUACUUUAUGACAACAAUCAUAUCCAAACUCCAGUUUGGAUUCAGUCUAGAUCUUGGAGGAAUGGGCCGAACACUGCUAUUUGAGGGUGAACCUGACCAUCUUGUUCCAGCAGCAUCAGAGGCACUUAUUGAAAGCAACCUCUUCUGGGUUGCAGGAAGGAUGUUGGCCCACACCUUUCUGCAUGACGGUCCCCAUGUCACAGGAUUAAGUCCUGCUGUAAUUCAUGUACUGUUCAAUGGGGACCCUGAAAUGGCUACUGUUGUUGUUGAAGACUGUCCUGAUCUGCACAUCAGGAGCAUCAUAGAACUUUUAUGUAACCUAAAAGAAACUUUGCCAUGUAAAAAAUAUUGCUUGGGCAGAUAUAAUAAAUAGUAUGGUCCUUAUUCUAUCUUGAACAAGAAGAACUUGUUCUUGGAACAGAAAGAAACAGUUUCAGAUCUUUCCAUGUCUUGGGAUCAUCCGGCAGUCACCAAAACAAAUCGGAGAUGGCUACAUAAUAAACUUCUACUCCAUGCAGUCGUUGGGAGGACCAUGCGCCAAAUUAAACAGUUGACAAAGGGACUGAAAGAUGUGAUGGUAUGGCCCCUGCUGACAUCUAGGCCAGAUGUUGUCCCACUUCCUUUCCCCAAAAUGGCUGAAAUGCAGUUCACACCCCAGAUGCUCCUAGAAAAAUCACAUGGCCAGUUGAGGACAGUGAUGAUGAAGACUUUGACUUGGACACCACCUGCCGCUUCACUGGCUUUCUAAGGAUGUUCAUUGAAACAGCUUCAUCAGGUACCCUGGCCCAGCUGCUGACAUUCUGGGUUGGCUGGGAGAUGCUUCCUCCUGAACUGACAGUGGAGAUUUCUGAGGGAACCCUUCCUAUGUCCUCCACAUGCUUUGAAACACUAAACCUGCCAUCCAUCCAUCCAUCCAUCGUCAAACCGCUUAUCCUGCAGACAGGGUCGCGGGGGGGCUGGAGUCCAUCCCAGCCAACUUUGGGCGAUAGACCGGGUACAUCCUGGAUUGGUCGCCAGCCAAUCGCAGGGCUAACACAGAGACAUACAAUCAUUCACACUCACACAUCUACGGGCAAUUUAAAGUCCCCAAUUAACCUGAUCCCCAGAGCAUGUCUUUGGACUGUGGGAGGAAGCCGGAGUACCCGGAGAGAACCCACGCAGACACGGGGAGAACAUGCAGACUCCACACAGAAAGGCCACUGGGCAGAGUCAAACCCAGGACCUUCUUGCUGUGAGGCGACAGUGCUAACCACCACGCCACCGUGCCGCCUAAACCUGGCAGCUCAUUUCAAAAUCUACAUGGACUUUGAGAAAGCACUUGUCGCUGCUAUAAAAAGUACUGGAUUUGGGCUUGUUUAAGUUUUUUCAGACAGAUGUCAAUUAGGGCAGGGCAAUAUUUCAAUAUUAUAUCUAUUGUGAUUUUGAAGCGUAAUAUUGUUACAUGGUAAGUUUAGUCUUUUCCUGGUUUCAAAGGCUGCAUUACAGUAAAGUGUCAUUUUCUGAAUUUACCAGACUGUUCUAGCUGUUCUAUUAUUUGCCUUUAACCACUUAGUCAUUAUAUGCACAUUAUGAUGGUUAUUUUUCAGAAAUUUAAAUGUGGAAGAUAUUUUGUGAAUGAAUCAAUUGUCAACCAUACAAUAUCGUCAUUGAGGUGUUUGGUCAAAAAUAUUGUGAUAUUUGAUUUUCUCCAUAUUGCCAGCCCUAAUGUCAAUGCCUACACUGUUCAGAUGAAUUGACACAAGUUCAGUGUCUUUGAAAACUUUGAUUAACACACUGUGCACAGUAGUUGACUUUUUAUUUUAUUUUUAUU